This 1347-nucleotide ribosomal RNA is filed under the name uncultured bacterium. Its description in RNAcentral is "bacterial SSU rRNA". It matches the Rfam family "Bacterial small subunit ribosomal RNA", at positions 28 to 1381 of the family's 1533-position model. The record is from RNAcentral.
GACGAACGCUGGCGGCGUGCUUAACACAUGCAAGUCGAACGAUGAAGCCUAGCUUGCUAGGUGGAUUAGUGGCGAACGGGUGAGUAAUACGUGAGUAACCUACCUUUAACUCUGGGGUAAGCCUGGGAAACUGGGUCUAAUACCGGAUACGACCAAUCUCCGCAUGGGGUGUUGGUGGAAAGCGUUAUGUAGUGGUUAUAGAUGGGCUCACGGCCUAUCAGCUUGUUGGUGAGGUAACGGCUCACCAAGGCGACGACGGGUAGCCGGCCUGAGAGGGUGACCGGCCACACUGGGACUGAGACACGGCCCAGACUCCUACGGGAGGCAGCAGUGGGGAAUAUUGCACAAUGGGCGCAAGCCUGAUGCAGCGACGCCGCGUGAGGGAUGACGGCCUUCGGGUUGUAAACCUCUGUUAGCAGGGAAGAAGAGAGAUUGACGGUACCUGCAGAGAAAGCGCCGGCUAACUACGUGCCAGCAGCCGCGGUAAUACGUAGGGCGCGAGCGUUGUCCGGAAUUAUUGGGCGUAAAGAGCUUGUAGGCGGUUUGUCGCGUCUGCUGUGAAGGCCGGGGCUUAACUCCGUGUAUUGCAGUGGGUACGGGCAGACUAGAGUGCAGUAGGGGAGACUGGAAUUCCUGGUGUAGCGGUGGAAUGCGCAGAUAUCAGGAGGAACACCGAUGGCGAAGGCAGGUCUCUGGGCUGUAACUGACGCUGAGAAGCGAAAGCAUGGGGAGCGAACAGGAUUAGAUACCCUGGUAGUCCAUGCCGUAAACGUUGGGCACUAGGUGUGGGGGACAUUCCACGUUUUCCGCGCCGUAGCUAACGCAUUAAGUGCCCCGCCUGGGGAGUACGGCCGCAAGGCUAAAACUCAAAGAAAUUGACGGGGGCCCGCACAAGCGGCGGAGCAUGCGGAUUAAUUCGAUGCAACGCGAAGAACCUUACCAAGGCUUGACAUAUACUGGACCGCAUCAGAGAUGGUGUUUCCCUUCGGGGCUGGUAUACAGGUGGUGCAUGGUUGUCGUCAGCUCGUGUCGUGAGAUGUUGGGUUAAGUCCCGCAACGAGCGCAACCCUCGUUCUAUGUUGCCAGCACGUUAUGGUGGGGACUCAUAGGAGACUGCCGGGGUCAACUCGGAGGAAGGUGGGGAUGACGUCAAAUCAUCAUGCCCCUUAUGUCUUGGGCUUCACGCAUGCUACAAUGGCCGGUACAGAGGGUUGCGAUACUGUGAGGUGGAGCUAAUCCCUAAAAGCCGGUCUCAGUUCGGAUUGGGGUCUGCAACUCGACCCCAUGAAGUCGGAGUCGCUAGUAAUCGCAGAUCAGCAACGCUGCGGUGAAUACGUUCCCGGGCCU